AACGUAGGGCGCAAGCGUUGUCCGGAAUUAUUGGGCGUAAAGAGCUCGUAGGCGGUUUGUCGCGUCUGCUGUGAAAGACCGGGGCUCAACUCCGGUUCUGCAGUGGGUACGGGCAGACUAGAGUGAUGUAGGGGAGACUGGAAUUCCUGGUGUAGCGGUGAAAUGCGCAGAUAUCAGGAGGAACACCGGUGGCGAAGGCGGGUCUCUGGGCCGAUACUGACGCUGAGGAGCGAAAGCGUGGGGAGCAAACGGG
RNAcentral lists this ribosomal RNA (253 nucleotides) under uncultured bacterium. RNAcentral's name for it is "partial 16S ribosomal RNA". It matches the Rfam family "Bacterial small subunit ribosomal RNA", at positions 524 to 776 of the family's 1533-position model. The record is from RNAcentral.